Molecule: small RNA, 366 nt
Filed under: Histoplasma ohiense
Lineage: Eukaryota; Fungi; Ascomycota; Eurotiomycetes; Onygenales; Ajellomycetaceae
Description: hypothetical lncRNA
Source: RNAcentral
CGUCGGGUCCACCGCAGCACAGCAACCGCGAGAAUCGCAUUACUCUCUAUCCCCAGCUCAGUCUGGAACGGACGAGAAACGUGGACAAAAAAACGAGUGCUGGAUCGGGGACUUAUUCUCCACUGCGGGCGAUGAGAAAGCGCAAUAAAAGCAAAUAAUGAAAAAAAGAAACCCCAUACAAAGCAAGGUAACUAACCCUCACCACCAAGUCCUCGCAGCUAGCUCGGGGAAAAGGCAAAGGGCGGAAAGAAAGUGUGUGAGAAACCUUCCUUACCUGGGUACAGAGCAAGUCAAGUCUGUGGUGCAACCGAGUCGCCCAGCCACCGCCAGCCAGCCCCCAGCCUCGUCCCUGUCAGGAUCAAACUC